UUUGCCACCAGCGUAAGCUGAAACCAUCCCGUUUUCCAAUUAAUUUCAUGAAAUAUGUACAAGAAGUACUAGCAUUUGUAUGUACAGUACAUCCACCAUCAACAAUUUCCAAAGGUUUGCACAUGUUUGUUCCCCCUUCCAACCAGAAACAUACUGUGACGAGACAUGAUUGCUGCUACCCAAGUGCGCCCGGCCCAAGCUCAAGCCCAUCGAGGCCCCACAAAACCCACAUGUCGCUCCAUCCGUCCCCGCGAGGGCCGGUGCGGCGUCGUGAUCAGCUCGGGCCCCAGCAGCUGAGGUACAUGGCCUUGCGGAGCGACUCAUCGGCGCCGGCCUGCCUCCGGCCGUCGUCGGCGACGGCCCGCGCCGCCCCGAGCGCGGCGGCCUGGGGAGCGAGCCCGGCAAGCCGGUCCCGCGACCCCGCCCCCGCCGCCCUCUCCCUCUGCGCCCGCACGGCGGCCACCGUCGCUGCCACCCACACACGGCUCAUCUUAAAAUUCUACCCGAUCGGUUCGUUUCCAAAGUCCUCCUACUCUGUUCUCAGCUCGCUUCGCUCUCUUCUCUGUGCUGUGCACUGCUAGCUCUGGAGGUGUGAGAAUGGGGAAGAAGGGCCGGUAUUUGUAGUCCGAGCGAGGGCGGUUUUGGUCAUUGCGUCUGAUGGUUUCGUGGCUGCUGGUUUCGGUCUUAUCAGUGUGCGGUGGUGCGAUAUUGUCGCGGGAGAAAUGGGGCGGCAUGGCCGUGAGGGACCCAGCUCCGUGGGUCAGCUACAGGUGUCGAGGCUUAUCGCCGGGGGCAGUGGUGACUCAUCGUUUCCCAUGGCUGGCCGUGGGCUCCGCCUGCUUUGUCGCCUUUGUAUUCUCUUGUACUAUCCACUCUUGUCCACUUCCCCCGCACUUUGUUUGUUUACUGGAGUAGUCGUACAACGGAAUCGUGGUUGAGAG
RNAcentral lists this long non-coding RNA (941 nucleotides) under Triticum aestivum (bread wheat). RNAcentral's name for it is "long non-coding RNA (TAES_LNC020455)". Lineage: Eukaryota; Viridiplantae; Streptophyta; Magnoliopsida; Poales; Poaceae. The record is from RNAcentral.